AACGAACGCUGGCGGCAGGCUUAACACAUGCAAGUCGAGCGCCUCGCAAGAGGAGCGGCAGACGGGUGAGUAACGCGUGGGAACGUACCCUUAUCUUCGGAAUAGCUCUGGGAAACUGGAAGUAAUACCGAAUGUGCCCUUAGGGGGAAAGAUUUAUCGGAUAAGGAUCGGCCCGCGUUGGAUUAGCUAGUUGGUGGGGUAAAGGCCUACCAAGGCGACGAUCCAUAGCUGGUCUGAGAGGAUGAUCAGCCACAUUGGGACUGAGACACGGCCCAAACUCCUACGGGAGGCAGCAGUGGGGAAUAUUGGACAAUGGGCGCAAGCCUGAUCCAGCCAUGCCGCGUGAGUGAUGAAGGCCUUAGGGUUGUAAAGCUCUUUCACCGGAGAAGAUAAUGACGGUAUCCGGAGAAGAAGCCCCGGCUAACUUCGUA
This 431-nucleotide ribosomal RNA is filed under the name uncultured bacterium. Its description in RNAcentral is "partial 16S ribosomal RNA". It matches the Rfam family "Bacterial small subunit ribosomal RNA", at positions 29 to 507 of the family's 1533-position model. The record is from RNAcentral.